UAAGACAGAGGCCUCGAGCGUUAGGCGGAAUCACUGGGCUUAAAGCGCGUGUAGGCGGAUCGUUAAGUGCCUUGUGAAAUCCCGCGGCUCAACCGCGGAACCGCUGGGCAUACUGGCGGUCUUGAGCCACCUAGGGGCAACUGGAACAAGCGGUGGAGCGGUGAAAUGCGUAGAUAUCGCUUGGAACGCCAACGGUGAAAACAGGUUGCUGGGGGUGUGCUGACGCUGAGACACGAAAGCCAGGGGAGCGAACGGGAUUAGAUACCCCGGUAGUCCUGGCCCUAAACGAUGUCGACUAGAUCGUAGUGCCUCUGACGGUAUUACGGUCGAAGCAAAAGUGCUAAGUCGACCGCCUGGGAAGUACGGUCGCAAGGCUA
This 377-nucleotide ribosomal RNA is filed under the name uncultured bacterium. Its description in RNAcentral is "bacterial SSU rRNA". It matches the Rfam family "Bacterial small subunit ribosomal RNA", at positions 521 to 896 of the family's 1533-position model. The record is from RNAcentral.